This 482-nucleotide ribosomal RNA is filed under the name uncultured bacterium. RNAcentral's name for it is "partial 16S ribosomal RNA". It matches the Rfam family "Bacterial small subunit ribosomal RNA", at positions 30 to 507 of the family's 1533-position model. The record is from RNAcentral.
AUUGAACGCUGGCGGCAUGCUUUACACAUGCAAGUCGAACGGCAGCGCGGGGCAACCUGGCGGCGAGUGGCGAACGGGUGAGUAAUAUAUCGGAACGUACCCAGAAGUGGGGGAUAACGUAGCGCAAGUUACGCUAAUACCCCAUACGAUCUACGGAUGAAAGUAGGGGACCGCAAGGCCUUAUGCUUUUGGUGCGGCCGAUAUCUGAUUAGCUAGUUGGUGAGGUAAAGGCUCACCAAGGCGACGAUCAGUAGCUGGUCUGAGAGGACGACCAGCCACACUGGAACUGAGACACGGUCCAGACUCCUACGGGAGGCAGCAGUGGGGAAUUUUGGACAAUGGGCGCAAGCCUGAUCCAGCAAUGCCGCGUGAGUGAAGAAGGCCUUCGGGUUGUAAAGCUCUUUUGUCAGGGAAGAAACGGUAGAGGCUAAUAUCCUUUGCUAAUGACGGUACCUGAAGAAUAAGCACCGGCUAACUACGUG